AUUAGUUUAAACACAAAAAAAGAAGGCUAAAUUACAGAAAAUCCCCCUGUAAUAAACCGCUUUUUUACUUUCCCCCCUGACAUUUAAAAACCUACACUUUGCCCCCUUGUAAAAUAAAAAAUAUUCACAGGGGGGUUACGGUGUGUAAAAUGACCAUUUUGCCCCUCGCCAUUGUUGUCUUCUUCCUGAGCUUUCUCAGCCGCCCCUUCGAUCCGCCACUAUUUUCACCUCAAUCGGCCACGAUUCCUCUCCAAUUUCUUCUCCACCUGCUCCCCUUCUCCUCCUACACUGUCGUCACCCAUCGAUUUCGGCGACAGUAGGAAAAAUACUAAAAUGGGUGUUGAUGGAGAGGUAGGCAAGGACAACGAGGGCGAAGGCGAGGCGGCGGAGGAGGACGAAGGGGAUGUGGGCGAGGGCGAAGCAGUGGAGGACGGCGAGGCGGCGAGGCGGCGAAGCGGCGAGGCGGCGAAGCGGCGAGCCGGAGGGAGCGAAGCAUCAGAGAAGAGGCAGAGGGGUAUUUUCGGUAUAAAAAAUAUUUUUUAACAGAACCUCUGACGGAACCCUAACGGUAGGGGUGAAGUGCACAUUUUUUAUUUUACAAGGGGGCAAAGUGUAAGUUUUUAAAUAUCAGGGGGGGAAAGUGAAAAAGCGGGUUAUUACAGGGGGAUUUUCUGUAAUUUAGCCAAAAAAGAAAUUAAGAAGAGAUCAGUACUGUUGCAG
Molecule: long non-coding RNA, 720 nt
Filed under: Ananas comosus (pineapple)
Lineage: Eukaryota; Viridiplantae; Streptophyta; Magnoliopsida; Poales; Bromeliaceae
Description: long non-coding RNA (ACOM_LNC023812)
Source: RNAcentral